RNAcentral lists this ribosomal RNA (1378 nucleotides) under Cerithidea tonkiniana. RNAcentral's name for it is "16S ribosomal RNA". It matches the Rfam family "Bacterial large subunit ribosomal RNA". Lineage: Eukaryota; Metazoa; Mollusca; Gastropoda; Potamididae. The record is from RNAcentral.
CCUUAAUUUAUUUCUUAUAAUAUAUACUUGCUUUGUUUAUACUACUUACUGAAACAUCAAAGAAUAUAGUAACGGCGAUAAAAGUUUUAUUUAUUAAAUUUAAGUACCGCAAGGGAAAACAUGAAUUAGAAAAAAGUAGUUUGUUAAACGUACUUUUUGUAUCACGGCUUAGCAAGAGUAAAUUAGAAAUACUAAAUUCUCGAAAUCUAACGAGCUAUUUUAUUUUGAUCUGCUAGGAUCUUAAUCUUUAGAUGUAGCAAAAUCUAAGAAAUAAAUAAAAAUAGAGAUGAAAUUUCAUUCGUGUUAGUGAUAGCUAGUUCUCCCCGAAAAAUAUAAAAGUAUUAAAAUGGGUAGAGUUAAAGGGUAAUUUUUAACCUCUAACUGUCCCCAAGAUUCACUUGUCUGAGGAUAAGCUCAGACAAGGUUUUGAGAGCAAUAUAUAUCCUUAUUUCUGUGUGGGCUUAAGAUCGGCCAUCAUAAUAAGUUUGUUAUAAAAUAGUUCAAGAACUUAAAAAGAUUAGUAUAUUAAGUUUCCAAUAGCCAGAUAGGGGAGUAUUAUCAACUGAAAUCAACUAAAUUAAACACUGAUGCUAAGAUGAGUAUUAUACUAAAAAUAACUUGGAAAAACAAUAAAAAGUUUCCUUUAUAAUCCUUGCCAAAUUCAUUAGUAAACUAAAUAUUUAGAAGGAACUCGGCAAAAACUUGCUUCGCCUGUUUAUCAAAAACAUGGCUCUUUGUUUAAUUUUUAUAAAGAGUCGAGCCUGCCCAGUGAAAAUUUCAACGGCCGCGGUACUCUGACCGUGCAAAGGUAGCAUAAUCAUUUGCCUUAUAAUUGAAGGCUAGUAUGAAUGGUUUGACGAAAGCAAAUCUGUCUCCUCUUUACUACUUAGAACUUGACCUUUAGGUGAAGAGGCCUAAAUAUCAUUGAAGGACAAGAAGACCCUGUCGAGCUUAAAAGAACAUGUAGAAGUUAAUAUACUUAAAAAUAAAUAAUCUACUAAGCUUUUUAGUUGGGGCGACUAAGGAACAAAAAAAGCUUCUUAAUUAAAAAAAACCAACAAGUUUAGAUCCAACCAGCUUGAUCAAAGAAAUUAGUUACCGCAGGGAUAACAGCAUAAUCUCUCUUGAGAGACCUAAUCGAAAGGGGGGGUUGUGACCUCGAUGUUGGACUAGAAUAUCCUAAAGAUGCAGAAGUCUUUAAGGGUUGGUCUGUUCGACCAUAAAAAUUCUACAUGAUCUGAGUUCAGACCGGCGUGAGCCAGGUCAGUUUCUAUCCUCAAUUCAUACCUCUGAGCUUAGUACGAAAGGAUUGGCCCAGAAAAUAUUAUUUUUCUUAAGAACAAAUAUAAUUAAUAAAUCAAUUUUAUGAUCAAAUUAG